GGGUUGUGAGGUUAAGCGAACAAGCGUACACGGUGGAUGCCCUGGCAGUCAGAGGCGAUGAAGGACGUGCUAAUCUGCGAAAAGCGCCGGUAAGGUGAUAUGAACCGUUAUAACCGGCGAUGUCCGAAUGGGGAAACCCGGUGCACUUCGGUGCAUCAUCGUUAGCUGAAUACAUAGGCUAACGAGGCGAACCGGGGGAACUGAAACAUCUAAGUACCCCGAGGAAAAGAAAUCAACCGAGAUUCCCCCAGUAGCGGCGAGCGAACGGGGAACAGCCCAGAGCCUGAAUCAGCUUGUGUGUCAGUGGAACGGUCUGGAAAGGCCGGCGAUACAGGGUGACAGCCCCGUACACGAAGGCACACAGGCUGUGAGCUCGAUGAGUAGGGCGGGACACGUGAUAUCCUGUCUGAAGAUGGGGGGACCAUCCUCCAAGGCUAAAUACUCCUGACUGACCGAUAGUGAACCAGUACCGUGAGGGAAAGGCGAAAAGAACCCCGGCGAGGGGAGUGAAACAGAACCUGAAACCGUGUACGUACAAGCAGUGGGAGCCUUCGUAAGAGGGUGACUGCGUACCUUUUGUAUAAUGGGUCAGCGACUUAUAUUCUGUAGCAAGGUUAACCGUAUAGGGGAGCCGAAGGGAAACCGAGUCUUAACCGGGCGUUAAGUUGCAGGGUAUAGACCCGAAACCCGGUGAUCUAGCCAUGGGCAGGUUGAAGGUUGGGUAACACUAACUGGAGGACCGAACCGACUAAUGUUGAAAAAUUAGCGGAUGACCUGUGGCUGGGGGUGAAAGGCCAAUCAAACCGGGAGAUAGCUGGUUCUCCCCGAAAGCUAUUUAGGUAGCGCCUCGUGAACUCAUCUCCGGGGGUAGAGCACUGUUUCGGCUAGGGGGCCAUCCCGGCUUACCAACCCGAUGCAAACUGCGAAUACCGGAGAAUGUUAUCACGGGAGACACACGGCGGGUGCUAACGUCCGUCGUGAAGAGGGAAACAACCCAGACCGCCAGCUAAGGUCCCAAAGUCAUGGUUAAGUGGGAAACGAUGUGGGAAGGCCCAGACAGCCAGGAUGUUGGCUUAGAAGCAGCCAUCAUUUAAAGAAAGCGUAAUAGCUCACUGGUCGAGUCGGCCUGCGCGGAAGAUGUAACGGGGCUAAACCAUGCACCGAAGCUGCGGCAGCGACGCUUAUGUGUUGUUGGGUAGGGGAGCGUUCUGUAAGCCUGCGAAGGUGUGCUGUGAGGCAUGCUGGAGGUAUCAGAAGUGCGAAUGCUGACAUAAGUAACGAUAAAGCGGGUGAAAAGCCCGCUCGCCGGAAGACCAAGGGUUCCUGUCCAACGUUAAUCGGGGCAGGGUGAGUCGACCCCUAAGGCGAGGCCGAAAGGCGUAGUCGAUGGGAAACAGGUUAAUAUUCCUGUACUUGGUGUUACUGCGAAGGGGGGACGGAGAAGGCUAUGUCGGCCGGGCGACGGUUGUCCCGGUUUAAGCGUGUAGGCUGACUUUCCAGGCAAAUCCGGAAGGUUAAGGCUGAGGCGUGAUGACGAGGCACCACGGUGCUGAAGUGACAAAUGCCCUGCUUCCAGGAAAAGCCUCUAAGCAUCAGGUAACAUCAAAUCGUACCCCAAACCGACACAGGUGGUCAGGUAGAGAAUACCAAGGCGCUUGAGAGAACUCGGGUGAAGGAACUAGGCAAAAUGGUGCCGUAACUUCGGGAGAAGGCACGCUGACAUGUAGGUGAAGCCCCUGCGGGUGGAGCUGAAGUCAGUCGAAGAUACCAGCUGGCUGCAACUGUUUAUUAAAAACACAGCACUGUGCAAACACGAAAGUGGACGUAUACGGUGUGACGCCUGCCCGGUGCCGGAAGGUUAAUUGAUGGGGUUAUCGCAAGAGAAGCUCCUGAUCGAAGCCCCGGUAAACGGCGGCCGUAACUAUAACGGUCCUAAGGUAGCGAAAUUCCUUGUCGGGUAAGUUCCGACCUGCACGAAUGGCGUAAUGAUGGCCAGGCUGUCUCCACCCGAGACUCAGUGAAAUUGAACUCGCUGUGAAGAUGCAGUGUACCCGCGGCAAGACGGAAAGACCCCGUGAACCUUUACUACAGCUUGACACUGAACAUUGAGCCUUGAUGUGUAGGAUAGGUGGGAGGCUUUGAAGCGUGGACGCCAGUCUGCGUGGAGCCGACCUUGAAAUACCACCCUUUAAUGUUUGAUGUUCUAACCUGGCGCCGUGAUCCGGCGUGGGGACAGUGUCUGGUGGGUAGUUUGACUGGGGCGGUCUCCUCCCAAAGUGUAACGGAGGAGCACGAAGGUCAGCUAAUCCUGGUCGGACAUCAGGAGGUUAGUGCAAUGGCAUAAGCUGGCUUGACUGCGAGAGUGACGGCUCGAGCAGGUGCGAAAGCAGGUCAUAGUGAUCCGGUGGUUCUGUAUGGAAGGGCCAUCGCUCAACGGAUAAAAGGUACUCCGGGGAUAACAGGCUGAUACCGCCCAAGAGUUCAUAUCGACGGCGGUGUUUGGCACCUCGAUGUCGGCUCAUCACAUCCUGGGGCUGAAGUAGGUCCCAAGGGUAUGGCUGUUCGCCAUUUAAAGUGGUACGCGAGCUGGGUUUAGAACGUCGUGAGACAGUUCGGUCCCUAUCUGCCGUGGGCGCUGGAGAAUUGAGGGGGGCUGCUCCCAGUACGAGAGGACCGGAGUGGACGCAUCACUGGUGUUCGGGUUGUCAUGCCAAUGGCACUGCCCGGUAGCUAAAUGCGGAAGAGAUAAGUGCUGAAAGCAUCUAAGCACGAAACUUGCCCCGAGAUGAGUUCUCCCUGAGACU
Molecule: ribosomal RNA, 2804 nt
Filed under: Cronobacter sakazakii
Lineage: Bacteria; Pseudomonadati; Pseudomonadota; Gammaproteobacteria; Enterobacterales; Enterobacteriaceae
Description: partial 23S ribosomal RNA
Rfam family: Bacterial large subunit ribosomal RNA
Source: RNAcentral